Molecule: ribosomal RNA, 429 nt
Filed under: uncultured prokaryote
Also listed under: 1 other name
Description: bacterial SSU rRNA
Rfam family: Bacterial small subunit ribosomal RNA
Source: RNAcentral
UGGGGAAUUUUGGACAAUGGGGGGAACCCUGAUCCAGCCAUGCCGCGUGCAGGAAGAAGGCCUUCGGGUUGUAAACUGCUUUUGUUAGGAACGAAAAGGUGGAUACUAAUAAUGUCUACUGAUGACGGUACCUAAAGAAUAAGCACCGGCUAACUACGUGCCAGCAGCCGCGGUAAUACGUAGGGUGCAAGCGUUAAUCGGAAUUACUGGGCGUAAAGCGUGCGCAGGCGGUUUUGUAAGUCAGGUGUGAAAUCCCCGAGCUCAACUUGGGAAGUGCACGUGAGACUGCAAGACUAGAGUAUGUCAGAGGGGGGUGGAAUUCCAAGUGUAGCAGUGAAAUGCGUAGAUAGUUGGAAGAACACCGAUGGCGAAGGCAGCCCCCUGGGAUAAUACUGACGCUCAUGCACGAAAGCGUGGGGAGCAAACAGG